Molecule: ribosomal RNA, 405 nt
Filed under: uncultured Gammaproteobacteria bacterium
Lineage: Bacteria; Pseudomonadati; Pseudomonadota; Gammaproteobacteria
Description: bacterial SSU rRNA
Rfam family: Bacterial small subunit ribosomal RNA
Source: RNAcentral
GAGUUUGAUCGUGGCUCAGAGUGAACGCUGGCGGCAGGCCUAACACAUGCAAGUCGAGCGGCAGCGCGGGGGCAACCCUGGCGGCGAGCGGCGGACGGGUGAGGAAUGCAUCGGAAUCUACCUCGUUGUGGGGGAUAACCUCGGGAAACCGGGACUAAUACCGCAUACGACCUACGGGUGAAAGUGGGGGACCGCAAGGCCUCACGCGAUGAGAUGAGCCGAUGCCGGAUUAGCUAGUUGGCGGGGUAAAGGCCCACCAAGGCGACGAUCCGUAGCUGGUCUGAGAGGAUGAUCAGCCACACUGGAACUGAGACACGGUCCAGACUCCUACGGGAGGCAGCAGUGGGGAAUAUUGGACAAUGGGCGCAAGCCUGAUCCAGCCAUGCCGCGUGUGUGAAGAAGGCC